Molecule: long non-coding RNA, 3217 nt
Filed under: Sus scrofa (pig)
Lineage: Eukaryota; Metazoa; Chordata; Mammalia; Artiodactyla; Suidae
Description: lncRNA (ENSSSCG00000053804.1, ENSSSCG00160007080.1, ENSSSCG00175035031.1)
Source: RNAcentral
AGGGACUUCAGCCUGGUGGCCUGGUGAACUCAGGGACUCCCAGCCCCUUCCAGCCCCCCUCCUUCAGGCUGCCUCUCCCUGCAAAGGCCUAGGCAAAACGGGGCGGCGUUGGUGGGGAGGGGGCUGUGGGCGAGGCCUGCUUCCUGAUCCACAGCUGUGUCUGCGCCUGAGUGGGGAGGGUCUGAGUUCACGCUCUGAACCGGAGGUGACAAUCUCCCCUCAGUUUCACAGAGAAUUUGAAGGCAUGCAGCAGAGAGCUGGGCCUGGUGAUCUCGGCUGCCCCGUGGCUGCCGCCUCUGCCUCCGGGUGGGCAGGGAGGGUGGGCAGGCUGCUCAAGAGUUGAAAAGAAGGCAGUGGCCGAAGGGGGUAGGAGAGAAAGGGGCAUCUGUUUACAGCCACUAUGCCUGGGGGGCUCUCCCAAAUAGUGGAGGCCCAUGGAGAGGGGCUUUAGGGGCGUCUUUCUUCUAGGAAAACUGAGGUUGGGGUAGAUGGGCCCUGUUGCCUGGUGAAGACUCCAAGGAGGAGCGAGCGUGAAAACCUCCUUGGUCAUAGCUUUGCUCCUUGACGAGAGUGUGGCUCAGUCCCCAGCUGCCUGGGCGGCUGUCUGGGCCGAGAUAGGGUUCGAUAUCCCCGGAGGCCUGGUGUACCCACCCCAGCAGGUCGCCAGGGAGGGGCAGGAGAGGAGGCCUCUUCCUCCUUUGUGUCCGGAGGCGCGGAGCCGGUCCCGCAGCAAAGGCCCGGCUGCACAAUGCCACGGCUGCUCGGCCAGCCCGCGCCCUGCCCCGUCUGCCUGCCUGUCGCCGCCCUUCCUCCGGCUCGCUCUCUGCAUGCCUUCCUUUCCCUGCUCUCCUCUCGCUCUUCCUCCUGCAUCCCCUCUCUUCUGUAAUCCUCCCCUCCCUCUGCCUUGUAUCCUAAUCCUUCGUUUUCUUCUUUCCUGCCCUCCUUCCUUCCUCCCUUCCUCUCUAUGGGCCUGGCGCCGUGCUUCGGUCGUACUCUCUCAGGCUGUCUCGGGCUGUCUCUCUCAGGCUCUGUCCCCUGAUGUCCUCUUGGUCGCAGUCUGGCCCCGGGCCCUCUGAAGGCGACACGUCUCUGCUCUGCGCUGCCAGCAGCCACCCCAGAGCCAGGCAGGGUCCCCCAGCCUGCACCUGGGGGACGUGCUGAUGGUGGCACUGGGGAUUUGGAGAAAGCCACGGCAGGGGGACGGGAACCUCCUGUCUUUUCCUUGAACUAGUGAGGGAAAAUUUUUGAUUGACAGCUAACCCAACUCCAUCAAGGCCAAAGAGAUAUUCUGUUUCUUGCUGUAAUUUGGAUUUCCCAGACCCGUCCAGUCCUGGGGAGGGGAAGGCAAUCACGGCCUGGGGUGAAGAGGUUGAGGCCCCUGGCUGCCUCUCCCCAGCCGGGCACUUCUCACGUCCCCCCCCACCCCCAUGCGUCAAAAUCCCAGCCCCGCUAGACCGAAAAGGAAGGAACCAGAGAAGGGGAGGAGCAGGCACUGGGGAGGGGGCCUGGCAGGCUGGGGUCAGUGCUGCAGGCUGCAGAUCUACCCUUCCCCCUCAACUCCCCCCCCCCCCAACACAUAUCCUACAAUCUCUGGGACACCUCUCUCUAGCCCUUCUUCUCCCCAGAGGAGACAAGUUGACAGAGAUGCAGGAAAAAAAAAAGCAGCCUCCACCCCCACCCCUGGCGUUUGGUCCCCUCCUGGGGACAGGAGUGGGAAAGAAGGGCAGGCAGGCAUCUCGGGUCUGGGAAGACUUGCCCUUCCCUGCUGCCUCAGAGCCUGUGUCUAAGCCUCAGCGCCUGCCUCUUUCCCCUAGCGCAAAUUAGACUCUUCCCUGCUGACCCUGAAAUUGCACCCCUCCUUCAAACUCCCUCCACCAUGCCCAGGGCGCAUCUGUCUCUGGGGACAUCACCUGCCCUUCUCCCCCGCCCCCAGCCAACUUCCCUGACCCCUCUCUUGCACCUACACUGAGAAUGUCCUGCUUGCCCAAAGCCCACCUUUGCUAAACCACCACGGGACAGUCUGCUAGAAAGCAGAGGGCUGGGCAGCGAACCCCAAAUUCAAGGAGGAGGGUAGCAACCAACUUAUUGGGGGGAGGAAUCCAAGUUGUGUGAUCGUCCCCACAAUCACACUGCCCCCUCCAGAAUUCCUGCAUCUGACUCCAAAGAAAUUGCUCUCUCCCAUUCCUCUGUAGCUUUUUUCCCGUUCCAAAAACAGCCUACAAUUUUAUUUAAUGAAAGACACAUUUAUGAACAAUCAAAUGAUCCUCAUAAAAUUUUUAUUGAAGGACGUAAAAACAAGCUACUUGCCCACGACCGAGGUCGCUCUUUCGCCUUGCCCGCUCUCACCCUGGCUCUCUGCAGACAGAGCCCGCGAGCGACUUCUUUUUUCAAGUGGGGGGGCAGGAGGUCUCAGAGAUGGAGUUGGGGGCAGAGGAGGGUGAACAGGAAGACAGGAUGGGUACGCCCCACUGAAGUUGUGUAGAUCUCUCCUCCACUUCUUCAGGCUGGCAAAGAAAGAUAAAUAGAUAUAGACAAUAAAUUUAAAAUACAGGCGUUUGCAUGUCUGUGCCAAAGCAAAGAGAGGACUUCUGGUGACAAAGGUGGAUGAGGUCCCAAGGUCCUACCCCUCCCACCCGUGGACCACCUUCCCCAAGCUUCCCCUGCCCCAGAUUUGGGGGGCUGAGUUGGCCAGUGGCAGAAGGACGCUCCCCUUCCCUCCUUCCCUCCCUCCACCCCAGCUUCCCCAGUCCCCUCCCACUCUCCCUCCCUCGCUGCUGCUGCAGCUCCUGAAAGAAAUACAUACAUACACACUAUUUAAAAACGCAUUUUUAAAAGCCACGUUCCGAACUGACAAUCGCUGAUCUCGGCUCGCGCAGAGACUGCGGGAGCGUCGGGGCCGACAGAGACGGAUUACGUCAAGAAAUAGUUCCUCCACCUACCUCGCCGGGUCUCUCCGCCCCUGCGGGGCUCCCGCGCCCAGCUCGGCCCCGGGGGUCCCGGAACCCUGGCUUCGGGGACUGGCAUUUUCACCCCAUUAAGAAAUCCUCCCGGGGGUGGGGGCGGAGGCCAUCUGCCUAUGGGUGGACCUGGGCCAGGGGCUGCUCUGCUGAGAUGCGAGUUGUCCUGAGGGGGUGGCCGGGUCCUUGGGUCCAGAGUUGCGGACCCCCAGGAAAACGCAGGUCGCGGGGAUCAGCAGAGAGAAGGGGGUGGGAGAAGG